AUUGAACGCUGGCGGCAUGCCUUACACAUGCAAGUCGAACGGUAACAGGUCUUCGGAUGCUGACGAGUGGCGAACGGGUGAGUAAUACAUCGGAACGUGCCCAGUAGUGGGGGAUAACUACUCGAAAGAGUGGCUAAUACCGCAUGAGAUCUACGGAUGAAAGCAGGGGAUCGCAAGACCUUGUGCUACUAGAGCGGCCGAUGGCAGAUUAGGUAGUUGGUGGGAUAAAAGCUUACCAAGCCGACGAUCUGUAGCUGGUCUGAGAGGACGAUCAGCCACACUGGGACUGAGACACGGCCCAGACUCCUACGGGAGGCAGCAGUGGGGAAUUUUGGACAAUGGGCGAAAGCCUGAUCCAGCAAUGCCGCGUGCAGGAUGAAGGCCUUCGGGUUGUAAACUGCUUUUGUACGGAGCGAAAAGGUCUCCUCUAAUACAGGGGGCUCAUGACGGUACCGUAAGAAUAAGCACCGGCUAACUACGUGCCAGCCGCCGCGGUAA
This 498-nucleotide ribosomal RNA is filed under the name uncultured bacterium. Its description in RNAcentral is "partial 16S ribosomal RNA". It matches the Rfam family "Bacterial small subunit ribosomal RNA", at positions 30 to 523 of the family's 1533-position model. The record is from RNAcentral.